This 421-nucleotide ribosomal RNA is filed under the name uncultured Lysobacter sp. RNAcentral describes it as "bacterial SSU rRNA". It matches the Rfam family "Bacterial small subunit ribosomal RNA", at positions 112 to 529 of the family's 1533-position model. The record is from RNAcentral. Lineage: Bacteria; Pseudomonadati; Pseudomonadota; Gammaproteobacteria; Lysobacterales; Lysobacteraceae.
AAUACAUCGGAAUCUGCCCAGUCGUGGGGGAUAACUUAGGGAAACUUAAGCUAAUACCGCAUACGACCUACGGGUGAAAGAGGGGGAUCGCAAGACCUCUCGCGAUUGGAUGAGCCGAUGUCGGAUUAGCUUGUUGGCGGGGUAACGGCCCACCAAGGCGACGAUCCGUAGCUGGUCUGAGAGGAUGAUCAGCCACACUGGAACUGAGACACGGUCCAGACUCCUACGGGAGGCAGCAGUGGGGAAUAUUGGACAAUGGGCGCAAGCCUGAUCCAGCCAUGCCGCGUGAGUGAAGAAGGCCCUCGGGUUGUAAAGCUCUUUUGUCCGGAAAGAAAAGCACUCGGCCAAUACCCGGGUGUCCUGACGGUACCGGAAGAAUAAGCACCGGCUAACUUCGUGCCAGCAGCCGCGGUAAUACGAA